GGAGAGAUGGAUGAGCGGUCUAAGUCGCACGCCUGGAAAGCGUGUACAGGCGAAUAGCCUGUCGGGGGUUCGAAUCCCCCUCUCUCCG
RNAcentral lists this transfer RNA (88 nucleotides) under Candidatus Glomeribacter gigasporarum BEG34. It matches the Rfam family "tRNA". Rfam says of the family: Transfer RNA (tRNA) molecules are approximately 80 nucleotides in length. The record is from Rfam by way of RNAcentral. Lineage: Bacteria; Pseudomonadati; Pseudomonadota; Betaproteobacteria; Burkholderiales; Burkholderiaceae.